GAGGCCGAAAGGCGUAGGCGAUGGACAACAGGUUGAUAUUCCUGUACCACCUCCUUUCCGUUUGAACGACGGGGGGACGCAGGAGGAUAAGGAGAGCGCGCCAUUGGAUGAGCGCGUCCAAGCAGUGAGACGGUCGGAUAGGCAAAUCCGUCCGGCAACGUCAAGCUGUGAUGGGGAGGGAACUAAAGUACCGAAGCUCCUGAGUUCACACUGCCAAGAAAAUCCUCUAGUGAGGAAAGAGGUGCCCGUACCGCAAACCAACACAGGUAGGCGAGGAGAGGAUCCUAAGGUGAGCGGGAGAACUCUCGUUAAGGAACUCGGCAAAAUGACCCCGUAACUUCGGGAGAAGGGGUGCUCCUCUGCCGAGGAGCCGCAGUGAAAAGGCCCAAGCGACUGUUUACCAAAAACACAGGUCUCUGCGAAGCCGUAAGGCGAAGUAUAGGGGCUGACACCUGCCCGGUGCUGGAAGGUUAAGGGGAUGCGUUAGCCGUAAGGCGAAGCGUUGAACCGAAGCCCCAGUAAACGGCGGCCGUAACUAUAACGGUCCUAAGGUAGCGAAAUUCCUUGUCGGGUAAGUUCCGACCCGCACGAAAGGUGCAACGACUUGGGCACUGUCUCAACGAGAGACCCGGUGAAAUUAUACGAUGCGUGAAGAUGCGCAUUACCCGCGACAGGACGGAAAGACCCCGUGGAGCUUUACUGUAGCCUGAUAUUGAAUGUUGGUACAGCUUGUACAGGAUAGGUAGGAGCCUUAGAAGCCGGAGCGCUAGCUUCGGUGGAGGCGCUGGUGGGAUACUACCCUGGCUGUACGGACAUUCUAACCCAGGACCGUAAUCCGGUCCGGAGACAGUGUCAGGUGGGCAGUUUGACUGGGGCGGUCGCCUCCUAAAGAGUAACGGAGGCGCCCAAAGGUUCCCUCAGAAUGGUUGGAAAUCAUUCGCAGAGUGUAAAGGCACAAGGGAGCUUGACUGCGAGACCUACAAGUCGAGCAGGGACGAAAGUCGGGCUUAGUGAUCCGGCGGUACCGCAUGGAAGGGCCGUCGCUCAACGGAUAAAAGCUACCCCGGGGAUAACAGGCUUAUCUCCCCCAAGAGUCCACAUCGACGGGGAGGUUUGGCACCUCGAUGUCGGCUCAUCGCAUCCUGGGGCUGUAGUCGGUCCCAAGGGUUGGGCUGUUCGCCCAUUAAAGCGGUACGCGAGCUGGGUUCAGAACGUCGUGAGACAGUUCGGUCCCUAUCCGUCGUGGGCGUUGGAAAUUUGAAAGGAGCUGUCCUUAGUACGAGAGGACCGGGAUGGACACACCGCUGGUGUACCAGUUGUUCCGCCAGGAGCAUCGCUGGGUAGCUACGUGUGGUCGGGAUAAGUGCUGAAAGCAUCUAAGCAUGAAGCCCCCCUUGAGAUGAGAUUUCCCCUUACGCCAAGUAAGUAAGAUCCCUCAGAGACGAUGAGGUUGAUAGGUCCGAGGUGGAAGCGUGGUGACACGUGGAGCUGACGGAUACUAAUGGAUCGAUGACUUAUCUA
This 1521-nucleotide ribosomal RNA is filed under the name Halobacillus alkaliphilus. Its description in RNAcentral is "bacterial LSU rRNA". It matches the Rfam family "Bacterial large subunit ribosomal RNA", at positions 1398 to 2925 of the family's 2925-position model. Lineage: Bacteria; Bacillati; Bacillota; Bacilli; Caryophanales; Bacillaceae. The record is from RNAcentral.